AAUAAAAGUUAAAAACAGAGGCUUUAGUUAAAACCAAAUUUUCAAUACUUGUUUUGUAUUUAAUUUGGGUUAUUUCCGAUUUGCAAUAUAAAUGAAAAAUAGGUAAAUAGCGUAGGAAUCGAUUAGUAAUAUAUUCUCGACUUUAAAAAACUUGAGAAUAAGAUGAUGAAAUAUGUUUUCCUUUUUGCGAUCAUCAUGGGGCGGCAGUUCAUUGAUGCAGAUCAGAUAGGUAAUGGCCGAGAGCUGUACUUCGCGGAAGGCAUCCUGCAGGAUACAGAUUCCGGAAAUGACGUAAUUAAGUCAAUACCAGUCACGGAUGUAACUACGUGCGCAAUGUGGUGCAUGCGCGAUAGCGAUUGCAAGUCGUUGACCAUAUAUGGGCUGGAUAAUAUCAAUCAAAAGUGGAAAGUGUGCAAAUUAAUAUCAGGAAAGAACUACCACCGAACCGACACAAGGGAGCAGCCAAGAUAUUACUUGAAAAAGAUAUUGGUCAAUUGAACAAUGUUAUACAUUUGUGAGAUUUAUGAUGUGAUGAAACGAAAGACUUGGAAUACUUGUAAUAUUUACAAAUCAUUACCAUUUCGAAUUACCAAUGCUAAUGAUGAGGAAGAUGAUGAGAGUAACUAAACUAGUGGUAAAAAUGUCAAGAAAAAUAAUGUUCUACAAUG
Long non-coding RNA from Nematostella vectensis (starlet sea anemone), 668 nucleotides. RefSeq lists it as uncharacterized. The transcript is spliced from 2 exons. The record is from RefSeq and is a predicted model, not a curated record. NCBI's taxonomy places the organism in Eukaryota, Metazoa, Cnidaria, Anthozoa, Actiniaria, Edwardsiidae.